AUUGAACGCUGGCGGCAGGCCUAACACAUGCAAGUCGGACGGUAGCACAGAGAGCUUGCUCUUGGGUGACGAGUGGCGGACGGGUGAGUAAUGUCUGGGGCUCUGCCCGAUAGAGGGGGAUAACCACUGGCAACGGUGGCUAAUACCGCAUAACGUCGCAAGACCAAAGAGGGGGACCUUCGGGCCUCUCACUAUCGGAUGAACCCAGAUGGGAUUAGCCAGUAGGCGGGGGAAUGGCCCACCUAGGCGACGAUCCCUAGCUGGUCUGAGAGGAUGACCAGCCACACUGGAACUGAGACACGGUCCAGACUCCUACGGGAGGCAGCAGUGGGGAAUAUUGCACAAUGGGCGCAAGCCUGAUGCAGCCAUGCCGCGUGUAUGAAGAAGGCCUUCGGGUUGUAAAGUACUUUCAGCGGGGAGGAAGGCGGUGAGGUUAAUAACCUUGCCGAUUGACGUUACCCGCAGAAGAAGCACCGGCUAACUCCGUGCCAGCAGCCGCCGUAA
RNAcentral lists this ribosomal RNA (504 nucleotides) under uncultured bacterium. Its description in RNAcentral is "partial 16S ribosomal RNA". It matches the Rfam family "Bacterial small subunit ribosomal RNA", at positions 29 to 523 of the family's 1533-position model. The record is from RNAcentral.